The sequence is a regulatory RNA element, 152 nucleotides long. It matches the Rfam family "PyrR binding site". From Rfam's summary of the family: This family represents the PyrR binding site and terminator structure. The record is from Rfam.
GGUACCUUUAAACCAGUCCAGAGAGGCUGACAAGGACAGCGGAUGUGCGUUCCCAUUAUGGGGACGUAUAAGUUCGUCGAAGCGUUUUAAGCAUAGGCGCUUUCACGACCAAAAAGGCUAAUUGUCAGUUACGUGACAAUUAGCCUUUUUUU